RNAcentral lists this ribosomal RNA (464 nucleotides) under Vreelandella stevensii. RNAcentral describes it as "partial 16S ribosomal RNA". It matches the Rfam family "Bacterial small subunit ribosomal RNA", at positions 338 to 795 of the family's 1533-position model. The record is from RNAcentral. Lineage: Bacteria; Pseudomonadati; Pseudomonadota; Gammaproteobacteria; Oceanospirillales; Halomonadaceae.
CCUACGGGUGGCUGCAGUGGGGAAUAUUGGACAAUGGGCGAAAGCCUGAUCCAGCCAUGCCGCGUGUGUGAAGAAGGCCUUCGGGUUGUAAAGCACUUUCAGUGGGGAAGAAAGCCUUGGGGCUAAUACCCUCGAGGAAGGACAUCACCCACAGAAGAAGCACCGGCUAACUCCGUGCCAGCAGCCGCGGUAAUACGGAGGGUGCGAGCGUUAAUCGGAAUUACUGGGCGUAAAGCGCGCGUAGGCGGUCUGAUAAGCCGGUUGUGAAAGCCCCGGGCUCAACCUGGGAACGGCAUCCGGAACUGGCAGGCUAGAGUGCAGGAGAGGAAGGUAGAAUUCCCGGUGUAGCGGUGAAAUGCGUAGAGAUUGGGAGGAAUACCAGUGGCGAAGGCGGCCUUCUGGACUGACACUGACGCUGAGGUGCGAAAGCGUGGGUAGCAAACAGGAUUAGAUACCCUGUAGUC